Molecule: long non-coding RNA, 561 nt
Organism: Daktulosphaira vitifoliae (grape phylloxera)
Lineage: Eukaryota; Metazoa; Arthropoda; Insecta; Hemiptera; Phylloxeridae
Exons: 3
Source: RefSeq, a predicted model, not a curated record
ACGUAGCUGGGUACUCUUACCGGAAUCAAUAGCCUACUUAUGAUGACGGCCUGAAGAGCCUUACGCGCCAAUGACGCGUAAGGCUCGUGAAUCGGUACUCAACUAUCAAAAACAACUCCACCAAAAUAAUCAAGUCAAUCGUCAAACAUUGGAUAAAAUAAAGUGUGGAGUAUGUGACCGCUGAAACCAUUUACAAAAAAACUGUCGAUACAAUGACUAUAGCUACAACAUCUGCAAUUUAAAAGGUCAUUGAAUCUUAUGUGGAAAUAUGGUUACGUAUGAAUAAUCAACUAACAUAUUUUAAUUUAAAAAAUGCAAGGGUUAAAGAAUUGUUAAUGAUGAAUGAAGAAUUGAAAAAGGCAAGAAAAACUUUUGAUGAGCGAAAAUUUGCAGGAAAAGGAAAUGAAAGUUCUGAAAGUAGUAACAAUUUAAACAGUAUAAACAAAAAAAUUUUAACCCAUAUGACAAUUUUUAUAGAUUUUCCAUUGUAUAAAUAUGUAGUUUAUUUUAUAUAUACGUUAUUAUAAGUUUUUUUGUAUAUAGUUAGUUUCUAUGUUUAAG